UGCCAGCAGCCGCGGUAAUACGGAGGGUGCAAGCGUUGCUCGGAAUCACUGGGCGUAAAGCGAACGCAGGCGGAUAUUUAAGUCGGGUGUGAAAGCCCGGGGCUCAACCCCGGAACUGCAUUCGAAACUGGAUGUCUUGAGUACGGGAGAGGGAAGCGGAAUUCCUGGUGUAGAGGUGAAAUUCGUAGAUAUCAGGAGGAACACCCGUGGCGAAAGCGGCUUCCUGGCCCGAUACUGACGCUCAUGUUCGAAAGCGUGGGGAGCAAACAGGAUUAGAUA
RNAcentral lists this ribosomal RNA (279 nucleotides) under uncultured bacterium. RNAcentral describes it as "partial 16S ribosomal RNA". It matches the Rfam family "Bacterial small subunit ribosomal RNA", at positions 506 to 784 of the family's 1533-position model. The record is from RNAcentral.